GACAGAGGGUGCAAACGUUGUUCGGAAUUACUGGGCGUAAAGGGCUCGUAGGCGGCCAACUAAGUCGGAUGUGAAAUCCCCAAGCUUAACUUGGGAACUGCAUCCGAUACUGGAUGGCUUGAAUCCGGGAGAGGGAUGCAGAAUUCCAGGUGUAGCGGUGAAAUGCGUAGAUAUCAGGAGGAACACCGGUGGCGAAGGCGGCCCUCUGGACGGAUACUGACGCUGAGGCGCGAAAGCGUGGGGAUCAAACAGG
Molecule: ribosomal RNA, 253 nt
Filed under: uncultured bacterium
Lineage: Bacteria
Description: partial 16S ribosomal RNA
Rfam family: Bacterial small subunit ribosomal RNA
Source: RNAcentral